This 253-nucleotide ribosomal RNA is filed under the name uncultured bacterium. Its description in RNAcentral is "partial 16S ribosomal RNA". It matches the Rfam family "Bacterial small subunit ribosomal RNA", at positions 524 to 776 of the family's 1533-position model. The record is from RNAcentral.
UACGAAGGGUGCAAACGUUGCUCGGAAUUAUUGGGCGUAAAGCGCACGUAGGCGGCUUAGCAAGUCGGAAGUGAAAGCCCUUGGCUCAACCAAGGAAGUGCUUUCGAAACUGCUGAGCUUGAGUAGUUAAGAGGAUCGCGGAAUUCCCGGUGUAGAGGUGAAAUUCGUAGAUAUCGGGAGGAACACCGGUGGCGAAGGCGGCAUCCUGGACCGGUAUUGACGCUGAGGCGCGAAAGCCAGGGGAGCAAACGGG